Molecule: long non-coding RNA, 2808 nt
Organism: Hevea brasiliensis (rubber tree)
Lineage: Eukaryota; Viridiplantae; Streptophyta; Magnoliopsida; Malpighiales; Euphorbiaceae
Exons: 11
Source: RefSeq, a predicted model, not a curated record
CCCUUUCCCUGAUAUUUAAUUUGGCUUUUCAGGAAAAAAAUGACCAUCUCGAAUUUCUUCCAAAAAAUGUAAAGCAUUUGCCCCAAAUUGAAGCCUUAUCUUGGGAAGUGUGAUAUGGAAGUUAUAGGUGGAACUGCCACUACGAAGAAAUCCAUACCAGAAUUUUAGCUUCUACGUGUUGCAAGAGAAUUGAUUUUCUAUGCAGAAACUGACAAGCUAUGUAAACAACAUGACCAUUGAUCAGUGUUUUAUGGAAACACUUUAGACUAGGAUGAAGUUCCGGGUUACAAUGCAUUGAGACCAUCAUAUCAUGGCUGCAGUUAUCUGAAAUUAAUAGACAGUCAUAAAUAUUCCUGUUGUAGCAUUGUGUUGAAAGUGCUUCCUUGAAUAUUCUAUGCUACAAUUUGGAUGGUUUAAAGGGGUUCUAACAUUUAGUUUUGGAGUAUCAAUCUGAUCUCUAAAUGUUGAGAGAGAAAGCAUUUUGACAAGAUUUGGGUGCUGGGGAAAUUAGGAUUUAUUCCUUCCAUCCAGUUGUGGGGAAAACAAAAUGACGACCAGGAGUUUCUUCUAGAAAAUGGAAAGCAUCUGCCCAAAUUUGGGUGUAAUUUCCAAGCAUGUAAUAUGGAAGAAACUUGCUUUGUCCAAUGCUCCUCUGUUUUUUCUGAUGAUGCGCAGUGGCAAUACCUUAGUAGCAUCCAGAGCUUCAAUUUAGAAAUAUGAACAAACUGGCGUCCCUCCCAAAGGGAUUUCAACAUGUUCCCACUCUGUGCAGACUCACAAUGGACAGUUGCCCUAAUUUGAUGCCUUUACAGGAGUGGAUGGAAAGCCUCACCCACAUUACAAGCUUUCUGGAUUGUAGAAUGUCCUAAACUGUCAUAAAGAUGCAAAAACAACAUGGGUGCUAAUUGGCCCAAGAUUGCUCUCAUCCCAUAUGAUAGUAUUGAUGGAAGAUGGAUGCAGGAGGAUGGUUGUUACAAAUUAUAAUCAGAAGAAUUAGGCUUCCUUCGUUUGAUGAUGGUUCUGUCUUGUUGAAAGAUGCCAGAGAAACAAUUGUGGAUUUGCCUCUCAUGUGCCAGCAAGUGCUAUUUUAUUAUUGACUUGUGCAUGUUUAUUUCUUCGUCUUUUUGAGUGACUGGUACAUAAUAUCUAAUAGUUUGCAUCAAUCUCAAUGCUUGCUCAUUACCCACGCAGCAGCAUGAAAAAUUAGGGACUCAUUACCUAUUUAGUGGCAACUGAUCAUCUAACUUAUCUGCAAUAAUUUGUUAAAGGCCUGAAGCAAAGAUCUGAUUCUGAUUCAAGCAGAUUUAGGGGUCAUAAUCAUGAAAGGUUCAAUGAUGCUGUCUAGCUGAGACCUGAUCAGUUGAUUAUAUAUAUGAACCUUGCAAUUUAAUAUUGCACAAGAAAUGGAGGUUUUUUAUUGCAAUUUAGUAUCACAGCAAGACGUCUACGAACUGGUUUGAAUUUAGUUCUGGAAACUGAAGAUUGCUGAGAAAUCAACUAUGAUCUCUGAAGGCACAAUGGUGGAAAAAUCAUUGGUUAAACAAAAUAAGAUUCAGCGCUUCAUAAUUCUUCAAAUCUAACUUAUUCCUUCCAUCUAGUUGUUUGGUAAGUCUUAUUACUGGGUUGUUUUUCUAUCAUUUUUGUUGUUAUAUUUUCUUGUGCAUGGACAAUUAAAUAUCAAAAAGCCCACAGUUUUACCUUUCUUUAAUUUGGUUUCCGGGAAAACAAAUUGACAAUCUGGAGUUUCUUCUGGAAAAUGUUUAAGGCAUUUGCCCCAACUGAGGUCUAAUCUUCAGGCAUGUGAUAUUUAAGAAAUCAUUUACGUGAUUGCAGAAUUGUUUGAACUUCUGUUACCAGAUGCAUGUUCUGAGUGAGAUCCAGAGUGUUCGGAGAUUUGAGGUUUUAUUUUCAGGCUGUUAUGCUGAUAUUGUGAAUCAAUAGAUUGAAGCAUUUCCAUUUAAUUUUAAUCGAGCUAUGGAAUUUCAAAUGAGCAUUCUGCAACUAUUGUCUUCAAUUUCAGAGUUUGGAAGUUGAUAAUGUUCUAAUUUGUUGAAAGAUGCCAGAAAAGAACAGUUGUGAAUUGGCCUCUCUUGUGCAAGGAAGGUUUUUUUUUUUGGUCUGGUGCAUUGUGCAAAAUUUUCAAUCUAUAUGGACCCAAUUGCAGUUUAGACUUUAAAGGAAACCUUGCGGGCACAACUACAUGUGAAAGAGAAGCCCAUCCAUCGAUCAAAGCUUCGGAGUUAUCUUGUGCCAAUUUGUCUCUUGUUGACUCAUCUAAUUCUAUUGUGGUUGAAUCGAAUUCAAAGAAUGUUGUUUCUUGGGUUCUUAAACCGGAUUCCACUCCUUGGCAACUAUCAUUGGUGAUUAACUCCAUUGUGACCAGCAUUGAAUCCCUUCCACCUGUUUACCUUUUGCUUCUCCUCACGAGAAUCCAACUCAGUUGCAGAUUUGUUGGCCAAACAAGGUUCAAGGCGCAAUGAAGAUUUCAUUGCUUUCUUAUAAAUCCUGGUUUGAAAUUGUUGGAUGUAUUUGUGUAUUCAGCAUGUCUCUUUUGUUUGUUUGUUUGUUGUUUUUCUCUUGAGAUGUGAGCUGGCUUAUGGUUCCAGGAUUGUAUCCCUUUGGCUCUAGGCUUGUAGUUUUGCUCCGUCCAGGUUUUUUACUUAGCAUGCGUCAUCCUAGGUUGGGUGUACUGGGUAGGUCUAAUGACCUGGGUUUAGUUGGAUAACACAUGCUAAGUUUUUCCUAGAUUUAUUAAUAAAAUAAUUUUACUUAUAAAAAAUAAAAAGUGCAGUCUAGCAUUGGAGAGCA